AUUGGUAGAGGAGCAUUCUUAACUGAGACGAAGCUGUACCGUAAGGAGCAGUGGAUUGUUAAGAAGAGAGAAUGCUGGAAUGAGUAGCGAGAGGAAGGUGAGAAUCCUUCCGGCCGAAUAUCCAAGGUUUCCAGAGUAAAGCUGAUCUGCUCUGGGUAAGUCGGGGCCUAAGGCGAGGUCGAAAGACGUAGUCGAUGGACAACAGGUUGAGAUUCCUGUACUAUAGUAUAACAGAACUGUGGGGACACAGAUGGAAAGCACAAUCCGGGAAUGGAAAAACCGGUACAAGCGGGGUAGGAGUAGUAAAGGCAAAUCCGUACUACAAUCCGAAGACGUGACGUGGAGCGAACUAAAGUAGCGAAGUGUGUGAGCCAGCUGUCAAGAAAAGCCGCUAUUGUUUAUAUUAUACCCGUACCGUAAACCGACACAGGUGGAUGAGGAGAGAAUCCUAAGGCCGACGGAAGAAGCAUUGUUAAGGAACUCGGCAAAAUGACCCCGUAACUUCGGGAGAAGGGGUGCCUCGAAAGAGGCCGCAGAGAAUAGGCUCAAGCAACUGUUUAGCAAAAACACAGGUCUAUGCAAAACCGCAAGGUGAAGUAUAUGGGCUGACGCCUGCCCGGUGCUGGAAGGUUAAGAGGAGAUGUCAGCGCAAGCGAAGCAUUGAAUUUAAGCCCCAGUAAACGGCGGCCGUAACUAUAACGGUCCUAAGGUAGCGAAAUUCCUUGUCGGGUAAGUUCCGACCCGCACGAAAGGCGUAAUGAUUUGAGCACUGUCUCGACAAUGCAUCCGGUGAAAUUGAAAUACCAGUGAAGAUGCUGGUUACCUGCGCCAGGACGGAAAGACCCCAUGGAGCUUUACUCCAGCUUGAUACUGGGAUUCGGUAUUGCAUGUACAGGAUAGGUGGGAGACUGAGAAUUCACAACGCCAGUUGUGAAGGAGUCAUUGUUGGGAUACCACCCUUGCAGUAUUGGAUUUCUAACCAGCCACCGUGAUCCGGUGGUGGGACAAUGUCAGGCGGGGAGUUUGACUGGGGCGGUCGCCUCCGAAAGGGUAUCGGAGGCGCUCAAAGGUCUUCUCAGAAUGGUUGGAAACCAUUCGCAGAGUGCAAAGGCAAAAGAAGGCUUGACUGUGACACCGACGGGUGGAGCAGGUACGAAAGUAGGACUUAGUGAUCCGGUGGUAUAAAGUGGGAUUGCCAUCGCUCAACGGAUAAAAGCUACCCUGGGGAUAACAGGCUUAUCACUCCCAAGAGUUCACAUCGACGGAGUGGUUUGGCACCUCGAUGUCGGCUCAUCGCAUCCUGGGGCUGUAGUAGGUCCCAAGGGUUGGGCUGUUCGCCCAUUAAAGCGGUACGCGAGCUGGGUUCAGAACGUCGUGAGACAGUUCGGUCCCUAUCCGGCGUGGGCGCAGGAUAUUUGAGAGGAGCUGACCUUAGUACGAGAGGACCGGGUUGGACUGACCUCUGGUGUACCGGUUGUUCUACCAAGAGCAUGGCCGGGUAGCCAAGUCGGGAAGGGAUAAACGCUGAAGGCAUCUAAGCGUGAAGCCCCCCUCAAGAUGAGAUAUCCCCCGCAUAAGCGGUAAGACCCCUUGA
RNAcentral lists this ribosomal RNA (1594 nucleotides) under Robinsoniella peoriensis. RNAcentral describes it as "bacterial LSU rRNA". It matches the Rfam family "Bacterial large subunit ribosomal RNA", at positions 1224 to 2841 of the family's 2925-position model. The record is from RNAcentral. Lineage: Bacteria; Bacillati; Bacillota; Clostridia; Lachnospirales; Lachnospiraceae.